AGGGUUUAACAAGGGGAAGCUAUACAAUAUUGGAUAUACUGAGGCAGCAAAACGAGACCAUACAUGUUUUGUUUUUCAUGACGUCGAUCUUAUUCCAGAAAAUGAUAACAUUUUAUAUGGAUGCGUCAGAAGUCAAAUGCACCUUUCUAGAGCAAUAGAUAAAUUUAACUAUAGACUUACAGAUAAAAACUAAUAGGAGGUGUUUCUGCUUGGAGAAGAAGGGAAUUCGAAAUGGUGAAUGGCUGGUCAAAUACGUUUCUGAAUUGGGGUGGAGAAGAUGACGAUAUGAGCUACAGGUUUAUUGCAAACGGACUGAAUAUCUAUCGUUUUCGAAAUUCCAUUGCUAGAUACAAAAUGCUUAAACACCCUCAAUCUGUGAUAAACACUGCUAGAUUUACCCUACUUGAGAACAGUUUUGUCCGCCAUAAAAUAGAUGGGUUGUCCUCCCUGAGCUAUGCUGGUGUAAACGUAACAGAAUUUAAACUAUUUACCAAGAUUAUUGUUAUUCUGUGAA
This is a long non-coding RNA of Saccostrea echinata, 514 nucleotides long. RefSeq lists it as uncharacterized. NCBI's taxonomy places the organism in Eukaryota, Metazoa, Mollusca, Bivalvia, Ostreida, Ostreidae. The transcript has 4 exons. The record is from RefSeq and is a predicted model, not a curated record.